Molecule: ribosomal RNA, 463 nt
Filed under: uncultured bacterium
Lineage: Bacteria
Description: partial 16S ribosomal RNA
Rfam family: Bacterial small subunit ribosomal RNA
Source: RNAcentral
GGCGAACGCUGGCGGCGUGCUUAACACAUGCAAGUCGAACGGAAAGGCCUUUUCGGAGGUACUCGAGUGGCGCACGGGUGUGUAACACGUGGGUGAUCUGCCCUGCACUCUGGGAUAAGCCUGGGAAACUGGGUCUAAUACCGGAUAGGACCGCACGUUCGUGUGUGUGGUUGAAAGUUUUUUCGGUGUAGGAUGAGCCCGCGGCCUAUCAGCUUGUUGGUGGGGUAAUGGCCUACCAAGGCGGCGACGGGUAGCCGGACUGAGAGGUUGGUCGGCCACAUUGGGACUGAGAUACGGCCCAGACUCCUACGGGAGGCAGCAGUGGGGAAUAUUGCACAAUGGGCGCAAGCCUGAUGCAGCGACGCCGCGUGGGGGAUGACGGCCUUCGGGUUGUAAACUCCGUUCGCCAGGGACGAAGCGUUUUGUGACGGUACCUGGAGAAGAAGCACCGGCUAACUACGUG